GCACCCCAGCAAAACCAUGGUCUCCUAUCAGUGUUGGCCAUGGGCAUUGACGGUUCAAGACUGACUCUAAGUAUAUCUAGACGGAUCUCCCUCUCCAAUUGGAGCCUGUCUCUACAACUUGAGAUAUAAAA
This 131-nucleotide small nucleolar RNA is filed under the name Hucho hucho (huchen). RNAcentral describes it as "Small nucleolar RNA SNORA55 (ENSHHUG00000022657.1)". Lineage: Eukaryota; Metazoa; Chordata; Actinopteri; Salmoniformes; Salmonidae. The record is from RNAcentral.